Molecule: long non-coding RNA, 1769 nt
Organism: Manis pentadactyla (Chinese pangolin)
Lineage: Eukaryota; Metazoa; Chordata; Mammalia; Pholidota; Manidae
Exons: 3
Source: RefSeq, a predicted model, not a curated record
AAUACAAUAUACGUGUGAGGGCUAGAAGAUUUAAAAAUUAAAAAUACUUUGUUUUUAUCUUCAAUAGGGUAAAAUUCAUCAUUUGGAGAGUUCACUUGUGCAGGAAAGUUCAUUUGCUGAUGUUGCCAGGUAAGUGAAGCACUUUAAUAGAAUAUUUCUACUCUUGUUAAUAGGCAUAAUAAUCCUUUAUAGCUUUCUAGCUGUCAAGUGUAUCCAGAAAUGAACAAUCCUUUCCAGUGAGCAUAAGAAAGCUGAUACAGAAAGAUGAGGUAUUAGACUAAAUGAACUCAGUGAGGAAAGAGUAGCACAUUCCUGACCAGGUCACAACGCGAGGUAGGUGUCUGCCGAGUGCCAGGUGCUGAACUCGGUGCUCACCUCCUCUGUCUGACUUUGUUCUCUCAGCAAUUCAGUGAAACAAGUACUGAUCCCCUUAUUUACUGAGCAGCUACUACUGCACAUAUGGUAGCCACAAGGCAUAUGCUUCCUGGCCUCAUGAAGGCAGCAUUUACAAAAGACACAACUGAAACUCAGAGAAAAAUGCUUAGAGCAGAUGCCAGGCAGUUAUGAUUAAACUGUUUAUCUGAAUUUAUCUUAUUUUCAUUCCCACAAUGACCCCAGGUGUGGGUACUUCUAUUAUCUCUAUUUUAUAGUUGAGGAAAUGGAGGUUCAGAUCACACAGUGAGGAGCUGGGAUUGAGGCCAGCAGCGAUUCUACUUAGGCCCUAAUCAAGUUGCUACAUUGGUUCCAAGGUGGCACCUAGCACCAUGCCCACCAGGAGCCCAGAAAAUGUGCCUUUAAGGGUCUGCUUAUUCUUGUGAAGGCAUAAGUUAUACAAAUUUGGCUUGUGCCAAGGAGCUCUUCUCUCUGAAAAGACAGUUAUUUAAGACGAGUUGGUGCUAAGGGGCCGAGAAUGGAUCAGGGCUGUCUUCUCCCAUUCCAUCACACACUUUCUGCCUCUGAUAUUACAGGGCUCAGGCUUCAGAAUAUUAGCAGCUGAAGUCUGAAAAGCCCCAGAAAUCAAGGGAACCAUCAGACAAGAACCCUUUCUCUCUCAUAAAAGAAACUACUUCAGAAUCAACUCUGCAUACUUGUGUUAGUUAUAAAGUUGUACCCAGGAUUGAAGCAGUUAUGAAAGAUUCCAGAGUCCAGUUUUCUCGAACUUCAGAGCAUUGAUCUACGUGAGGCUUUGCCUACGUGGUUUGGGAAAUUCUUGGGUCACUGAUCAUGGUUUUAAUUUCUGUGGGGAUUUCCAGGAUGGAAUGUACAGUCUGAAAACAUUUAAACAAUUUUCAGUUUCCUAUUUUGGUUUUCUUUAGGGGCUAUCUGCAUAUGAUGGUUGACACAAAGACCUGAAGUUCUGUGUGGAUGAUGAAUAAUAAGCACUUCAACUUAGGUAACUGUACACUUCUAUUUUCACUGACUUUUGAAUCAAGACAUUUUGCUAUUGCUUACUUUAAAAACUUUAGCUAUUAAUACAAUUAAAAAUAUCUGCUUAUGCAAUUUGCCCCAUAUCCAUUCCAAAUAUGGAUUUCUUUUUCAAUUAAGAAGAAAUCUCCUCCCUCAAUUUAUUUACCAUUCUGUAUUUUUCAAAGAAUUAACAAAUCCUGAUCUCUUUGCUUCUCCUUACCACCUGGGGUCAGGGGGAGAUACUAUUCUGUUUUAGAAAUGUGGAAACUGAGGCUCAGUGAAACCUUGCUUGCCAAGGCUAAUAAAGAUAAUACAUACUGAAUUAAUAAUGCAUUCAUAAUUUGAUACUGAUUUUUAACAAA